UACGUAGGGGGCAAGCGUUAUCCGGAAUCAUUGGGCGUAAAGCGCGUGUAGGCGGUUCCGUAAGUCCGCUCUGAAAGCCCAGGGCUCAACCCUGGGAGGCGGGUGGAUACUACGGAACUGGAGUACGGAAGAGGAGAUUGGAAUUCCUGGUGUAGCGGUGAAAUGCGCAGAUAUCAGGAAGAACACCGGUGGCGAAGGCGGCUCACUGGCUCAUUACUGACGCUCAGGCGCGACAGCGUGGGGAUCAAACAGG
RNAcentral lists this ribosomal RNA (253 nucleotides) under uncultured bacterium. RNAcentral's name for it is "partial 16S ribosomal RNA". It matches the Rfam family "Bacterial small subunit ribosomal RNA", at positions 524 to 776 of the family's 1533-position model. The record is from RNAcentral.